UAAGGGCGCACGGUGGAUGCCUUGGCACUAGAAGCCGAUGAAGGACGUUACUAACGACGAUAUGCUUUGGGGAGCUGUAAGUAAGCUUUGAUCCAGAGAUUUCCGAAUGGGGAAACCCAGCAUGAGUUAUGUCAUGUUAUCGAUAUGUGAAUACAUAGCAUAUCAGAAGGCACACCCGGAGAACUGAAACAUCUUAGUACCCGGAGGAAGAGAAAGAAAAUUCGAUUCCCUUAGUAGCGGCGAGCGAAACGGGAAGAGCCCAAACCAACAAGCUUGCUUGUUGGGGUUGUAGGACACUCUAUACGGAGUUACAAAGGACGACAUUAGACGAAUCAUCUGGAAAGAUGAAUCAAAGAAGGUAAUAAUCCUGUAGUCGAAAAUGUUGUCUCUCUUGAGUGGAUCCUGAGUACGACGGAGCACGUGAAAUUCCGUCGGAAUCUGGGAGGACCAUCUCCUAAGGCUAAAUACUCUCUAGUGACCGAUAGUGAACCAGUACCGUGAGGGAAAGGUGAAAAGCACCCCGGGAGGGGAGUGAAAUAGAACCUGAAACCGUGUGCUUACAAGUAGUCAGAGCCCGU
RNAcentral lists this ribosomal RNA (578 nucleotides) under Staphylococcus aureus. Its description in RNAcentral is "partial 23S ribosomal RNA". It matches the Rfam family "Bacterial large subunit ribosomal RNA", at positions 12 to 584 of the family's 2925-position model. Lineage: Bacteria; Bacillati; Bacillota; Bacilli; Caryophanales; Staphylococcaceae. The record is from RNAcentral.